Long non-coding RNA from Panicum virgatum (switchgrass), 315 nucleotides. RefSeq lists it as uncharacterized. The record is from RefSeq and is a predicted model, not a curated record. NCBI's taxonomy places the organism in Eukaryota, Viridiplantae, Streptophyta, Magnoliopsida, Poales, Poaceae. The transcript has 2 exons.
UACCGCACAUGCCAAAAGAAACUCAUAAAAGUACUCUCAAAAUAACACUGAGGAAUCACACUUUAUUCAAGUUGAAGUUGCUUCUUGCUUCUGGUAUUUGAAGCUGGGCUGGAUGGGCUGGGUACUACAACUGGAGCCCUCCUUGGUGGCACCCAAUGUCACGAAGAAGAGGUGCAGGGUACACCACUUGGACAGGAAGAGGGUCAUUGGAUCCAGUUCCAGAUCUUGUAUACAAAGUAAGAAACAUGUAUCGGUGAGGUGAUUGUAAAGGACAAAGUAGUGAAAAGCAAGAACAGAUUAAGCCCACACCUGGUA